GUGCUCUUGUCAGCAGCACAUACACUAGCACUGGAACUAUACAAAGAUUGGCAUGGCCCCUGAGCAAGAAUGACAUGCAAAUUCGUGAAGCAUCCAUAUUUUUU
Pteronotus mesoamericanus is the source of this 104-nucleotide small nuclear RNA. The record is from RefSeq and is a predicted model, not a curated record. Lineage: Eukaryota; Metazoa; Chordata; Mammalia; Chiroptera; Mormoopidae.